AACCUGAUAGUAACAGAUAACUUUUCGUAUAAAUUGUAGAUACCCGUAACGAUGGGUACAGUUUCAAUCGAGUUAUUCUUUGAAAAUGUACAUUUUAGUUACAGAGAUGGAGACUACCAGCUUCACGUCCUGUAAAUUACAGGGUUUGCCAUUGGAUGAGCUGACAAGUCUUCAAGAGAAGUUUAACAGUUUGAACUUAUUAAACAGCAAACAGGAAAGUUUCUUUGAAGUGGAUACCCAUGGAAUCAACGUAUUGAACAUUUUGUCUGGUGAUGAUUACAAUUACAGGAUUAGAAGUCAAUCCAUGGCGAUGGAGAAAACUAAUAUAGGUGGUAGAACCAUCCAAGUACAAAAACUGGUGUGGACAUUAAGCAAAACAUGAAAAUAUUAUGAAUCAAUUAUUUAUUGAAUAAAUCAUCCAAAAUUUUA
This is a long non-coding RNA of Helicoverpa armigera (cotton bollworm), 429 nucleotides long. RefSeq lists it as uncharacterized. The record is from RefSeq and is a predicted model, not a curated record. The transcript has 3 exons. NCBI's taxonomy places the organism in Eukaryota, Metazoa, Arthropoda, Insecta, Lepidoptera, Noctuidae.